Molecule: ribosomal RNA, 468 nt
Filed under: uncultured bacterium
Lineage: Bacteria
Description: partial 16S ribosomal RNA
Rfam family: Bacterial small subunit ribosomal RNA
Source: RNAcentral
GAUGAACGCUGGCGGCGUGCUUAACACAUGCAAGUCGAACGGUGAACCCGGAGCUUGCUCUGUGGGAUCAGUGGCGAACGGGUGAGUAACACGUGAGCAACCUGCCCCUGACUCUGGGAUAAGCGCUGGAAACGGCGUCUAAUACUGGAUAUGUGACGUGAUCGCAUGGUCUGCGUCUGGAAAGAAUUUCGGUUGGGGAUGGGCUCGCGGCCUAUCAGCUUGUUGGUGAGGUAAUGGCUCACCAAGGCGUCGACGGGUAGCCGGCCUGAGAGGGUGACCGGCCACACUGGGACUGAGACACGGCCCAGACUCCUACGGGAGGCAGCAGUGGGGAAUAUUGCACAAUGGGCGCAAGCCUGAUGCAGCAACGCCGCGUGAGGGAUGACGGCCUUCGGGUUGUAAACCUCUUUUAGCAGGGAAGAAGCGAAAGUGACGGUACCUGCAGAAAAAGCGCCGGCUAACUACGUG